Molecule: ribosomal RNA, 468 nt
Filed under: uncultured bacterium
Lineage: Bacteria
Description: partial 16S ribosomal RNA
Rfam family: Bacterial small subunit ribosomal RNA
Source: RNAcentral
GACGAACGCUGGCGGCGCGCCUAACACAUGCAAGUCGAACGGAGUCAAGAGGAGCUUGCUUUUCUUUACUUAGUGGCGCACGGGUGAGUAACGCGUGAGUAACCUGCCCUGGAGUGGGGGACAACAGUUGGAAACGACUGCUAAUACCGCAUAAGCCCACGGAUCUGCAUGGAUCUGCGGGAAAAGGAGUUAUUCGCUCUAGGCUGGACUCGCGUCCAAUUAGCUAGUUGGUGAGGUAACGGCCCACCAAGGCGACGAUUGGUAGCCGGACUGAGAGGUUGACCGGCCACAUUGGGACUGAGGCACGGCCCAGACUCCUACGGGAGGGAGCAGUGGGGGAUAUUGCACAAUGGGGGAAACCCUGAUGCAGCGACGCCGCGUGGAGGAAGAAGGUUUUCGGAUUGUAAACUCCUGUCGUUAGGGGCGAUAAUGACGGUACCUAACAAGAAAGCACCAGCUAACUACGUG